RNAcentral lists this ribosomal RNA (270 nucleotides) under uncultured archaeon. RNAcentral's name for it is "partial 16S ribosomal RNA". It matches the Rfam family "Archaeal small subunit ribosomal RNA", at positions 477 to 747 of the family's 1478-position model. The record is from RNAcentral.
CAGCUCUCCGAGUGGUAGGGAUGUUUAUUGGGCUUGAAGCGUCCGUAGCUGGCCUGACAAGUCUUCCGUUAAAUCCAACGAUUCAAUCGUUGGACUGCGGGAGAUACUGUUGGGCUAGGGGGCGGAGGAGGCCGACGGUAUUCUCGGGGUAGGGGUAAAAUCCUAUAAUCCCGGGAAGACCACCAGUGGCGAAGGCGGUCGGCUAGUACGCGCUCGACGGUGAGGGACGAAAGCUGGGGGAGCGAACCGGAUUAGAUACCCGAGUAGUCC